Long non-coding RNA from Bactrocera neohumeralis, 343 nucleotides. RefSeq lists it as uncharacterized. NCBI's taxonomy places the organism in Eukaryota, Metazoa, Arthropoda, Insecta, Diptera, Tephritidae. The record is from RefSeq and is a predicted model, not a curated record. The transcript has 3 exons.
UUCAUUUUAUUCCAAAAGUGCUUUCCCGGGAGUAGUUGGUUGCAUCGACGGGACUCAUGUUCGCAUAAUUUCACCAAGAAAAGAAGUGCAACAUCUUUAUCUUAACAGAAAGGGCUACUACAGUUUAAACGUGAUGAUUCUUUGUGAUUAUAAAAUGUCUAUUCGGUAUGUGGAUGCUAGGCAUGCAGGCGCAAAUCAUGACUCUUUUGUUUUCAAUGUUAGCGAUUUGAAAGUGCAUUUACAGAACAACAUACAGAAUAACACUUGGAUCUUGGGCGACGCUGGCUAUCCUCUGCACAAAUUUUUAAUGACGCCUUAUCGCUUGGCGGAAGCUUCUUCACCC